RNAcentral lists this ribosomal RNA (1421 nucleotides) under Desmodesmus sp. M1-20. Its description in RNAcentral is "eukaryotic LSU rRNA". The stretch from base 936 to 1089 matches the Rfam family "5.8S ribosomal RNA". The record is from RNAcentral. Lineage: Eukaryota; Viridiplantae; Chlorophyta; Chlorophyceae; Sphaeropleales; Scenedesmaceae.
GAAGUCGUAACAAGGUUUCCGUAGUGAUUACUCUUCACAUGCGGUUGUCAGUCGAAAAAGGGCUGGCAAGUGGGGCACUUGGUGCCCUGCGAGACUGUCAAAUUGCCGGAAACACCUGCUAAGCGAUUAGUACCGCCUGCUGUUGGAAACUUCAGUUUGGCACCGGGGGGAAACUCACGGGUAUGGUAAAAAUCUAAUCGAUAGGGUCAAUCGGCAGCCAACUCCUAAAUACGAUCCGGCAAGCAUGGGAAUUGAACCCAUGCUUAUGACCCGCCAGGGCUUGCUCUUUAGGGGGCGAGAGGUGGUGGCAUGCUGGUUUACAAUCGUACAUGGAGGCAGUUCAUCGACUAAAUGGCAGUCGGCGAAAACACAAGACACAUACUUCAACAACCACCUCUACUUCGGUUUCUUGAAGGAUUGUCUUGCUUGUUUGUCGCUUAAGAUAUAGUCAGGCCACACAGAAAUGUGUACUACCGGAGGACAGCAGUAGGUUGGCAUGUCCAGGGUGCAGGUGGGAGCCUGCCACGUAGGCGCCAAAAUCGAAUUUUUCGAAACUUCGCCGAAGCUUCCUAAGGGUCCCUGAUAGCUUCCUAAGGAGUCCUAAGGGGUCCUCGCAGCUUCCAAGGGCCUUCCUGGUGCUGGACAUGUCUUACUGAAUCGCUUGAGAGCCGGUAGUGGAUCAUGGUGAAAUACUCCAUUUCGCAAGAAUUGGAGGGCGGUACCACUUGCCUCAUGGUCCGGAGUAACCGAGGUGAACCUGCGGAAGGAUCAUUGAAUAUGCAAACCACAACACGCACUCUUUUAUCUGUGUACCGACGUUAGGUCGAACCCUCACCGGUUUGGCCUACUUACACACACACACACCAUUGACCAACCAUUGAUCAAACCAAACUCUGAAGUUUCGGCUGCUGUUAAUCGGCAGUUUUAACGAAAACAACUCUCAACAACGGAUAUCUUGGCUCUCGCAACGAUGAAGAACGCAGCGAAAUGCGAUACGUAGUGUGAAUUGCAGAAUUCCGUGAACCAUCGAAUCUUUGAACGCAUAUUGCGCUCGACUCCUCGGAGAAGAGCAUGUCUGCCUCAGCGUCGGUUUACACCCUCACCCCUCUUCCUCUUCGGAGGGAGCUUGUCGUGCUUGCUUAAGCCGGCAUCAGGGGUGGAUCUGGCCCUCCCAAUCGGACUCACCUCUGGUUGGGUUGGCUGAAGCACAGAGGCUUAAACUGGGACCCGAUUCGGGCUCAACUGGAUAGGUAGCAACACCCUUGUGGUGCCUACACGAAGUUGUGUCUGAGGACCUGGUUAGGAGCCAAGCAGGAAACGCGUGCCUUUGGCAUGUAUCUAUGUAUUCGACCUGAGCUCAGGCAAGGCUACCCGCUGAACUUAAGCAUAUCACUAAGCGGAGGAAAAGAAACUAACCAGGA